UCUAAUAGUACAAAUAAAUUAUGUUGGUUUAGAUUAAGUGUAAUUUACUGUAUUACAAUAAUAAUAUUUUUUAAGUGAAAUUUAAAUUAUUAAAAAUGAUAUAAUAAAAGCUGAAAUUCUGUAAAUUAAAAAUAAAACUAGGAUUAGAUACCCUAUUAUUUUAAUCUAAUUUUUUUCUUUAUCAUUAAUAGAUAUGUUCUUAAAAGUAAAAAAAUUUGGCGGUAUUUUUUCUAAUUAGAGGAACCUGUUCUAUAAUUGAUAGUCCACGAUUUUAUAUACUUUUUUUAUUUUUACAUAUCGUUGUAAAGAAUAUUUUUUUAGAAUAUAUUUAGAAAUUAAAUUUUAGAUUAAUUCAGAUCAAGGUGUAGAUUAUAAAAAAGAAGAAAUGGGUUACAAUAAUUAAAAUUUUAGUUUAAUUUUUUUGAAGAAUUAAUAAAUUGGAUUUAAAAGUAAAUUUAUAUAUUUUUUUAAGUUGAUUAGAGUUCAAAAAU
Molecule: ribosomal RNA, 491 nt
Filed under: Eugenysa coscaroni
Lineage: Eukaryota; Metazoa; Arthropoda; Insecta; Coleoptera; Chrysomelidae
Description: partial 12S small subunit ribosomal RNA
Source: RNAcentral